AACGAACGCUGGCGGCAGGCCUAACACAUGCAAGUCGAACGCUCCGCAAGGGGAGUGGCAGACGGGUGAGUAACACGUGGGAAUCUUCCUGUUGGUACGGAAUAGCUCAGGGGAAACUUGGGGUAAUACCGUAUAAGCCCGAGAGGGGAAAGAUUUAUCGCCGACAGAUGAGCCCGCGUCUGAUUAGCUAGUUGGUGAGGUAAUGGCUCACCAAGGCGACGAUCAGUAGCUGGCUGAGAGGAUGACCAGCCACACUGGGACUGAGACACGGCCCAGACUCCUACGGGAGGCAGCAGUGGGGAAUAUUGGACAAUGGGCGCAAGCCUGAUCCAGCCAUGCCGCGUGAGUGACGAAGGUCUUCGGAUUGUAAAGCUCUUUUGCCAGGGACGAUAAUGACGGUACCUGGANAAUAAGCCCCGGCUAACUUCGUGCCAGCCGCCGCCGU
This 445-nucleotide ribosomal RNA is filed under the name uncultured bacterium. RNAcentral's name for it is "bacterial SSU rRNA". It matches the Rfam family "Bacterial small subunit ribosomal RNA", at positions 29 to 521 of the family's 1533-position model. The record is from RNAcentral.